UACGAAGGGGGCUAGCGUUGCUCGGAAUUACUGGGCGUAAAGGGUACGUAGGCGGCUUCUUAAGUCGGUGGUGAAAUCCUGGAGCUCAACUCCAGAACUGCCUUCGAUACUGGGAAGCUCGAGUCCGGGAGAGGUGAGUGGAACUGCGAGUGUAGAGGUGAAAUUCGUAGAUAUUCGCAAGAACACCAGUGGCGAAGACGGCUCACUGGCCCGGAACUGACGCUGAGGUGCGAAAGCCAGGGGAGCAAACAGG
RNAcentral lists this ribosomal RNA (253 nucleotides) under uncultured bacterium. RNAcentral's name for it is "partial 16S ribosomal RNA". It matches the Rfam family "Bacterial small subunit ribosomal RNA", at positions 524 to 776 of the family's 1533-position model. The record is from RNAcentral.